GCAGUCGCCGCGGUAAUACAGAGGGUGCGAGCGUUAAUCGGAUUUACUGGGCGUAAAGCGUGCGUAGGCGGCUUCUUAAGUCGGAUGUGAAAUCCCUGAGCUUAACUUAGGAAUUGCAUUCGAUACUGGGAAGCUAGAGUAUGGGAGAGGAUGGUAGAAUUUCAGGUGUAGCGGUGAAAUGCGUAGAGAUCUGGAGGAAUACCGAUGGCGAAGGCAGCCAUCUGGCCUAAUACUGACGCUGAGGUACGAAAGCAUGGGGAGCAAACAGGAUUAGAUACCCGGGUAGUCCCUGUCUCUUAUAC
This 302-nucleotide ribosomal RNA is filed under the name uncultured bacterium. RNAcentral describes it as "partial 16S ribosomal RNA". It matches the Rfam family "Bacterial small subunit ribosomal RNA", at positions 508 to 807 of the family's 1533-position model. The record is from RNAcentral.